This is a long non-coding RNA of Oryctolagus cuniculus (rabbit), 2016 nucleotides long. RefSeq lists it as uncharacterized. NCBI's taxonomy places the organism in Eukaryota, Metazoa, Chordata, Mammalia, Lagomorpha, Leporidae. The record is from RefSeq and is a predicted model, not a curated record.
AUUUCUCGCAGUGGCUGACUUUAAUCAAAGGCUUGCCGGCUUCCGCACCGUGCAUGGCGCUUCCUCUUCUCCUCGCAAACGCGCACCUGGCUAACCUGAUCGACCGUGACGUCACCCUGAUUGACAGCCUCAUGGCCGAACCAGGCAGGUACGGGGGAGAGGCGACCGCCCCUUGUUUCCCGCUCCGGGAGGAGAAGACCGGCGGAAACGAAGCGCCUGGUCCCGCCCCUGCUGCUGCUCUUGGCUGUGCCCCGUCCCCGCCUCGCCGCGCCGCUGUGGGUCCUCCUUGCUACGGAGGGCGGGCGCCGUGGGGCUGCAGUGCGGCCGCCUGAAGUGUGUAUGGGGACACGCAGAGUCGGCGAGGGCCCGCCACAAAGCAUUGUGGAGCAGCAUGUUGAGACACCACCUGAAAUGCCGGCUUCCUGCGUGGGCACUGGUUGAUGUCCUGGCUGUGCCACUUCCGAUCCAACUUCCGGGCUCCUGACUUCUGCCUGGCCCAGACCUGAGUGGCCAGAGAACGAACCAGCAAAUGGAAGCUUUGUGCUCCUGGAUACUUUCCCAAGGGAGUGAAGACUUGCGUCUGCAGGAAGACCCACCCACAGCCCUCUGUAGCAGCUUCCUUCCUCACUGCCAGAUUUGGGAAGCCCCCAGGAUGCUCUUCAGCAGGUGUCAGAAACUCAACUACUUGAGCCAUCUCUGCGGCCUCCAAGGUGUGCACUAGCAGGCAGCUGGAAUCGGAAGCUGCAGGCGGGCGUUGAACCCACGCACUCCAAAAUGGGACGUGGAUGUCCCGACUGAUGCUGAACUGCCCGGCCGAACACGGGCCUCAGAAGCCUGGAAUUACUGAAAGGGCUGAAGACUACUCAGUUGCAAAACAACGUUAAUCAUGGUUUCCAGGGACUUAAAACAUGCACACAAGGUAAUGAAAGUGACAGCAGCAGCACACAUGGCGAGAAGUGGGGAAGUGGAAGGCGCAGUCGUAGUGGUUUGCUUGGGAAUGGAGAGGGACAAGCACUAAUUCCAGGUAGAGGUUACUAAGUUACGGAUGCUCACUACAUCCCCAGGGUAAGCACUCACAGAUUUGUAAAGAGAAUCACUAAGUGCAUUAGUAGUAAAGAAAGGAUGGCAGAGUCAUGGCAAAGACCGAAUGCAGAGGAAGACAGGGACUGGAAGGUAAGGUUCAAAUGGCGGAGGCUAUGAAUGCAAAGAAAGCAGCUGAGAUGGUGUGAAUCCAACUACACUUGAUGCAAAUCCAAAGACAGCUGACGGUUGAUCAAUGGAGUUCCUGGAUCCCAGUUUAGGCCUGGCCCAGCACUGACUGUUGUAACAAUUUUGGAAGUGAACCUGUGGAGGGAAGACCUGUGUGUGUGUGUAUGUCACCUGCCUUCAUAAAUAAAAGAAUAAAGAAAUCUUCCACCCUGACAUGGCUCUAUCUCCAACCAAAGGUCAUUCCACUCAGCUCCAAACCAAUCAGAAGAAAUGAGUGUCCGCACCUUAACUGCACCUUAACCUUAACUUCCGCCCAGAGUACCCCAAUGGGGGUUCAUGUUGCACAACACUGACAUAUUGAGCAUGCUGCGUGCAAGAAAUACAACAGAACAGCAGGCUGGGUGCACAGGUGCGAAUCCAGGUGCCAUGUACUGAGGGGGUAGGCCAGAACUCCAAGCUGGGUCCCCGUCAAAGUGCCACGUGCCAAAGGGGCACCACCAUGCCUCCUCAUGUGAUUAAAAACCCCUGCCCUGAACCCUCGUUGAGCCAGUCAGUAGAACUUUUUCCCCAUGGUGCUGUGUCCAAGCUUAAGCCCACAAUAAACCUUGUCUGGGUUGUGUGUUGGCCUCAUGUCAAUUGCUAUUACAAGUGAGUCAAAGAAUCUGGCGUUGGUGCUAGGAUGGGCGAAGAAGGCUGGCACUGUGGUGCAGCAAGUUAAGCCACUGCCUACGAUGCUGGCAUCCCACGUCCCAGCUGCUCCACUUCUGAUCCAGCUCCCUGCUGAUGACCUGGGAAUGCAGCAGAAGA